This 57-nucleotide transfer RNA is filed under the name Schistocephalus solidus. It matches the Rfam family "tRNA". From Rfam's summary of the family: Transfer RNA (tRNA) molecules are approximately 80 nucleotides in length. Their secondary structure includes four short double-helical elements and three loops (D, anti-codon, and T loops). Further hydrogen bonds mediate the characteristic L-shaped molecular structure. tRNAs have two regions of fundamental functional importance: the anti-codon, which is responsible for specific mRNA codon recognition, and the 3' end, to which the tRNAs corresponding amino acid is attached (by aminoacyl-tRNA synthetases). tRNAs cope with the degeneracy of the genetic code in two manners: having more than one tRNA (with a specific anti-codon) for a particular amino acid; and 'wobble' base-pairing, i.e. permitting non-standard base-pairing at the 3rd anti-codon position. Lineage: Eukaryota; Metazoa; Platyhelminthes; Cestoda; Diphyllobothriidea; Diphyllobothriidae. The record is from Rfam by way of RNAcentral.
GAGCCCGUGGCUCAGUGGAUAGAGCGUUGGACUUCUAAUCAACAGGUUUCGGGUUCG